RNAcentral lists this ribosomal RNA (497 nucleotides) under uncultured bacterium. RNAcentral's name for it is "partial 16S ribosomal RNA". It matches the Rfam family "Bacterial small subunit ribosomal RNA", at positions 28 to 507 of the family's 1533-position model. The record is from RNAcentral.
GAUGAACGCUGGCGGCGUGCCUAAUACAUGCAAGUCGAGCGAACGGACGAGAAGCUUGCUUCUCUGAUGUUAGCGGCGGACGGGUGAGUAACACGUGGAUAACCUACCUAUAAGACUGGGAUAACUUCGGGAAACCGUAGCUAAUACCGGAUAAUAUUUUGAACCGCAUGGUUCAAAAGUGAAAGACGGUCUUGCUGUCACUUAUAGAUGGAUCCGCGCUGCAUUAGCUAGUUGGUAAGGUAACGGCUUACCAAGGCAACGAUGCAUAGCCGACCUGAGAGGGUGAUCGGCCACACUGGAACUGAGACACGGUCCAGACUCCUACGGGAGGCAGCAGUAGGGAAUCUUCCGCAAUGGGCGAAAGCCUGACGGAGCAACGCCGCGUGAGUGAUGAAGGUGCUCGGAUCGUAAAACUGUGUUAUUAGGGAAGAACAUAUGUGUAAGUAACUGUGCACAUCUUGACGGUACCUAAUCAGAAAGCCACGGCUAACUACGUG